CAAUACCUAGUGGCAGACGGGUGAGUAACGCGUGGUCAACCUACCGUUGAGUGGGGGAUAACUAGCCGAAAGGUUAGCUAAUACCGCAUAAGCCUGGAAAGGGAAAGUCGCAAGACGCUGAGAGAGGAGUCCGCGGCCGAUUAGCUAGUUGGCAGGGUAAAAGCCUACCAAGGCUAUGAUCGGUAGCCGGCCUGAGAGGGCACACGGCCACACUGGCACUGAAACACGGGCCAG
This 234-nucleotide ribosomal RNA is filed under the name uncultured bacterium. RNAcentral describes it as "partial 16S ribosomal RNA". It matches the Rfam family "Bacterial small subunit ribosomal RNA", at positions 86 to 334 of the family's 1533-position model. The record is from RNAcentral.